UUGUCAACUGGAGUUCUCCUCAAAUCACUUCAGUAGCUAGCUAGCUAGCUUGUGCCUCAUUGUUUCAUUGCCGCUGUUUAUAAGUGUGCAUGGAGCUGGAGAGCCGUGCACAGUGAAGUGUUUGGGGGAACUCCGGGUGGCAA
Molecule: microRNA precursor, 143 nt
Filed under: Brachypodium distachyon (stiff brome)
Lineage: Eukaryota; Viridiplantae; Streptophyta; Magnoliopsida; Poales; Poaceae
Description: mir-395 microRNA precursor family
Rfam family: mir-395 microRNA precursor family
About the family: mir-395 was identified in both Arabidopsis thaliana and Oryza sativa computationally and was later experimentally verified. mir-395 is thought to target mRNAs coding for ATP sulphurylases. The mature sequence is excised from the 3' arm of the hairpin.
Source: Rfam by way of RNAcentral